RNAcentral lists this ribosomal RNA (279 nucleotides) under Rhipicephalus sanguineus (brown dog tick). RNAcentral describes it as "partial small subunit ribosomal RNA". The record is from RNAcentral. Lineage: Eukaryota; Metazoa; Arthropoda; Arachnida; Ixodida; Ixodidae.
AUUAUUUAAGAGCUUAACAUUGUAAGUAAAUAAUAAUUAUGAAAGCAAAAAAUUAUGGCGGUAUUUUAAGCUUUUCAGAGGAAUUUGCUCUUUAAUGGAUAAAACACCAAGAUCUUACUUAGAUUUGUGAUUUCAAUUUGUAUACCACUAUUAAAACAAUUUAUAACUUUAAUUGUUUAAAUUUACAAAACUAAAAUAUAUUAAGUCAAGGUGCAGUAAAAAUUUAAGGAUGAAGUGAAUUACAUUACUUUUUAGUGAGAUAAGUUUAUAACAAUAUUU